Molecule: ribosomal RNA, 506 nt
Filed under: uncultured bacterium
Lineage: Bacteria
Description: partial 16S ribosomal RNA
Rfam family: Bacterial small subunit ribosomal RNA
Source: RNAcentral
AGUGAACGCUGGCGGUAGGCCUAACACAUGCAAGUCGAACGGCAGCACAGGAGAGCUUGCUCUCUGGGUGGCGAGUGGCGGACGGGUGAGGAAUACAUCGGAAUCUACUCUGUCGUGGGGGAUAACGUAGGGAAACUUACGCUAAUACCGCAUACGACCUACGGGUGAAAGCAGGGAACCUUCGGGCCUUGCGCGAUUGAAUGAGCCGAUGUCGGAUUAGCUAGUUGGCGGGGUGAAGGCCCACCAAGGCGACGAUCCGUAGCUGGUCUGAGAGGAUGAUCAGCCACACUGGAACUGGGACACGGUCCAGACUCCUACGGGAGGCAGCAGUGGGGAAUAUUGGACAAUGGGCGCAAGCCUGAUCCAGCCAUACCGCGUGGGUGAAGAAGGCCUUCGGGUUGUAAAGCCCUUUUGUUGGGAAAGAAAUCCAGCUGGCUAAUACCCGGUUGGGAUGACGGUACCCAAAGAAUAGGCACCGGCUAACUUCGUGCCAGCCGCCGCAGUAA